GGCAACCACCCGGCAAUCACCCAGCAACCAUCCAGCAGUUAGUCUCCGGUCGGUCAGUGUGUAUGCCGGUUUGCUGGCUUCAUCGCGCACAUUCCAUCAUCCCGAUUAAUGAAUUACGCAGCGCGGUGGUCAUCACCGUGGCGCCCCCUGCUGCGCACCUCGGCGGCCGUCCUGCGCAUCAGUACUCGUUAGACAGCAGCAGCGAAGCGCUCGUGCAACCUGCAAGCGGUGUUCCUGAACACCAGCGCCAAAUAUUCACCGCAGUAUAGAAUCCCCCCUCGCUCGCGCACACACACAUACAGACAUUCACACAUACAGACGUUCACACAGACACACAUACACACAUAUGCACACAUAUACACAUACACACAGACACACACAGACACACACAUACACACAUAUACACACAGACACACACAUACACACAUACACACACAUACACACAGACACACAUACACACACAUACACACAUACACACACAUACACACAUACACACAUAUACACAUACACACAUACACACACAUACACACACAUACACACACAUACACACACAUACACACAUAUACACAUACACACAUACACACACAUACACACACAUACACACACAUUUACACAUUUACACAUACACACAUACACACAUACACACAUACACACAUACACACAUUUACACAUUUACACAUUUACACAUACACACAUACACACAUACACACAUAUACACACAUACACACAUAUACACACAUAUACACACAUAUACACACAUACACACACAUUUACACAUUUACACAUACACACAUUUACACAUACACACAUACACACAUACACACAUAUACACACAUACACACAUAUACACAUAUACACACAUAUACACACAUACACACAUAUACACACAUAUACACGCAUAUACACACAUACACACAUACACAUACCGGUGUGUCCUCAAAUGUCAGUUGUGCAGUGCAUACGUCGGACAUAGGUACAGAAUUGAUAUCUUGGAGAGUUAUGGUUAUAAGAAGAAAAGUGCCUGCUAGCUAGCGCUGUUGCUUUCCAGGCGGCCAAGCCAUGCACUCAAGCACAGCCAAGGCCCGAGCUGCCGCAUAACGUUCAGCGGUCAGUCUGUCGCCAUUGCAAUCAUCUAUACAGUCUUGUUAAAGCCAUCGGGAGUGCACCUUCCUGUGGAACGGUCCCCAUGAAGGCCGCCCCGAGCUCUCAAACCCCACAGGCCCCAUAUCGAGCGUCAAUGUUUCCCCCUCCAUCCAUGACCCCAUGCACCUUUUGCCCUAGUGCCAGAACCACUCUGGG
This 1299-nucleotide long non-coding RNA is filed under the name Volvox carteri. RNAcentral describes it as "long non-coding RNA (VCAR_LNC001480)". Lineage: Eukaryota; Viridiplantae; Chlorophyta; Chlorophyceae; Chlamydomonadales; Volvocaceae. The record is from RNAcentral.